GACGAACGCUGGCGGCGUGCUUAACACAUGCAAGUCGAACGGAAAGGCCCUGCUUUUGUGGGGUGCUCGAGUGGCGAACGGGUGAGUAACACGUGAGUAACCUGCCCUUGACUUUGGGAUAACUUCAGGAAACUGGGGCUAAUACCGGAUAGGAGCUCCUGCUGCAUGGUGGGGGUUGGAAAGUUUCGGCGGUUGGGGAUGGACUCGCGGCUUAUCAGCUUGUUGGUGGGGUAGUGGCUUACCAAGGCUUUGACGGGUAGCCGGCCUGAGAGGGUGACCGGCGGGAGUGGGAGUGAGGGACGGCGGGGAGGCGUACGGGGGGGAACGGGGGGGGGGAUGGCAGAAGGGGCGGAGGUCUGACGCAGCAUCGGCGUGUGCGGGAGGGUGGGAGGCGGGAUGUGAAAGGGAGGCGCCUGCGACGGAGCGGGAGGGACGGUCAUGGAUAAUGAGAAACCGGCGAGGUGCAUG
This 468-nucleotide ribosomal RNA is filed under the name uncultured bacterium. RNAcentral describes it as "partial 16S ribosomal RNA". The stretch from base 16 to 370 matches the Rfam family "Bacterial small subunit ribosomal RNA", at positions 43 to 396 of the family's 1533-position model. The record is from RNAcentral.